RNAcentral lists this transfer RNA (86 nucleotides) under Rhodopila sp. RNAcentral describes it as "tRNA-Leu". It matches the Rfam family "tRNA". Rfam says of the family: Transfer RNA (tRNA) molecules are approximately 80 nucleotides in length. Their secondary structure includes four short double-helical elements and three loops (D, anti-codon, and T loops). The record is from RNAcentral. Lineage: Bacteria; Pseudomonadati; Pseudomonadota; Alphaproteobacteria; Acetobacterales; Acetobacteraceae.
GCCCGCCUGGCGGAAUGGUAGACGCAGCGGACUUAAAAUCCGCAGUUCGAAAGGACGUGCCGGUUCGAGUCCGGCGGUGGGCACCA